Molecule: ribosomal RNA, 273 nt
Filed under: uncultured bacterium
Lineage: Bacteria
Description: partial 16S ribosomal RNA
Rfam family: Bacterial small subunit ribosomal RNA
Source: RNAcentral
UACGGGGGGGGUAAGCGUUGUUCGGAAUUACUGGGCGUAAAGGGCUCGUAGGCGGCCAACUAAGUCAUACGUGAAAUCCCUCAGCUUAACUGGGGAACUGCGUGUGAUACUGGAUGGCUUGGAUUUGGGAGAGGGAUGCGGAAUUCCAGGUGUAGCGGUGAAAUGCGUAGAUAUCUGGAGGAACACCGGUGGCGAAGGCGGCAUCCUGGACCAAUAUUGACGCUGAGGAGCGAAAGCCAGGGGAGCAAACGGGAUUAGAAACCCCCGUAGUCC